UACGUAGGGUGCGAGCGUUGUCCGGAAUUAUUGGGCGUAAAGAGCUCGUAGGCGGUUUGUUGCGUCGGCCGUGAAAACUCACAGCUCAACUGUGGGCGUGCGGGCGAUACGGGCAGACUUGAGUACUGCAGGGGAGACUGGAAUUCCUGGUGUAGCGGUGGAAUGCGCAGAUAUCAGGAGGAACACCGGUGGCGAAGGCGGGUCUCUGGGCAGUAACUGACGCUGAGGCGCGAAAGCUAGGGGAGCAAACGGG
This 253-nucleotide ribosomal RNA is filed under the name uncultured bacterium. RNAcentral describes it as "partial 16S ribosomal RNA". It matches the Rfam family "Bacterial small subunit ribosomal RNA", at positions 524 to 776 of the family's 1533-position model. The record is from RNAcentral.